Molecule: long non-coding RNA, 883 nt
Filed under: Nicotiana benthamiana
Lineage: Eukaryota; Viridiplantae; Streptophyta; Magnoliopsida; Solanales; Solanaceae
Description: long non-coding RNA (NBEN_LNC036107)
Rfam family: U2 spliceosomal RNA (bases 1-266)
Source: RNAcentral
UACCUUUCUCGGCCUUUUGGCUAAGAUCAAGUGUAGUAUCUGUUCUUAUCAGUUUUUUGAACCUGUUUUGUGACAUAUGAACUAUUUGACCUAUUUUACGACUAUUUGUUCUGUUAUUAUCAGUUUAAUAUCUAAUAUGUGGGCCAUUGGUCCACACGAUAUUAACUUACUUUUUUAAGGGGGAAGGUCCAUUAGGGUAGCUUGCUAUCCGGCCCUUCACGCGUCGCCUAGGCUUUGCACUACAGCCCAGGCCUGGCGCACCCUCCCAAAUCUAGUCCAACAUUAUUGAAUAUAUAUCCGAUACCCAAGCCCAGCAAAUCUGGGCCCUGGCUGUAUGAUUUCGUAUGUCAAUUAUAUUUUGUACUGUGCCCUGAUUCUGCGUAUAACUUAGUUAUGAUUAAAUUACUUUUUCUUUAGAGAAUGAGUUGUUGAUGGUAAUUUAUAAACGCGGCAUUUUAUCAUAUUUUAGCUUUUUUGCCGUUAUUUUUUAAAGAUAUAAUAUGUUAGAAUUUUGAUGGUAAGAAUCUAGAAAUGGAGAUAGUCGAGUGCUCUCAAAACAUUCAAAUUUUCUCUUUAUUUAUGUGGAAACAAUCUAAAAUCUUUAAAAAUUUUUUGGUCGGCUAGUAAGCCUGUAUCCGGUUUCGGUUCUGGGUCUAUUUGGGUAAGCGGUUCCCGAUUCUGGCGGUUUCGGUUCUGGCGGUUCCGGAGCUGGAACCGGAACCAUACGGUUCCGGAACCACCCGGUUCCGUUUCUGGAGGUUCCGGAACCGCGUGUCUGGCGGUUCCGACCUUUUUUUUUUUUUUUUUUAAAUUAAAUAUCUUGUAUAGUAGUGAUUAGUAUAUUGUAGAAUAUAUUUUUAUAUGGUGUACUAUGUUGUUACUA